This 440-nucleotide ribosomal RNA is filed under the name uncultured bacterium. RNAcentral's name for it is "partial 16S ribosomal RNA". It matches the Rfam family "Bacterial small subunit ribosomal RNA", at positions 338 to 795 of the family's 1533-position model. The record is from RNAcentral.
CCUACGGGAGGCUGCAGUGGGGGAUAUUGCACAAUGGGGGAAACCCUGAUGCAGCGACGCCGCGUGAGUGAGGAAGCAUUUCGGUGUGUAAAGCUCUAUCAGCAGGGAAGAAAAUGACGGUACCUGACUAAGAAGCCCCGGCUAACUACGUGCCAGCAGCCGCGGUAAUACGUAGGGGGCAAGCGUUAUCCGGAUUUACUGGGUGUAAAGGGGGCGUAGACGGCGAAGCAAGUCAGGAGUGAAAACCCGGGGCCCAACCCUGGGACUGCUUUUGAAACUGCGUAGCUAGAGUGCAGGAGGGGUAGGCGGAAUGCCUGGGGUAGCGGUGAAAUGCGUAGAUAUCAGGAGGAACACCAGUGGCGAAGGCGGCCUGCUGGACUGCAACUGACGUUGAGGCCCGAAAGCGUGGGGAGCAAACAGGAUUAGAUACCCCUGUAGUC